RNAcentral lists this ribosomal RNA (396 nucleotides) under uncultured bacterium. RNAcentral describes it as "partial 16S ribosomal RNA". It matches the Rfam family "Bacterial small subunit ribosomal RNA", at positions 523 to 918 of the family's 1533-position model. The record is from RNAcentral.
AUACGUAGGUGGCAAGCGUUGUCCGGAUUUACUGGGCGUAAAGGGAGCGUAGGCGGACUUUUAAGUGAGAUGUGAAAUACCCGGGCUCAACCUGGGUGCUGCAUUUCAAACUGGAAGUCUAGAGUGCAGGAGAGGAGAGUGGAAUUCCUAGUGUAGCGGUGAAAUGCGUAGAGAUUAGGAAGAACACCAGUGGCGAAGGCGACUCUCUGGACUGUAACGGACGCUGAGGCUCGAAAGCGUGGGGAGCAAACAGGAUUAGAUACCCGGGUAGUCCACGCCGUAAACGAUGAAUACUAGGUGUAGAGGUUGUCAUGACCUCUGUGCCGCCGCUAACGCAUUAAGUAUUCCGCCUGGGGAGUACGGUCGCAAGACUGAAACUUAAAGGAAUUGACGGGG